This 75-nucleotide transfer RNA is filed under the name Candidatus Woesearchaeota archaeon. RNAcentral describes it as "tRNA-Arg". It matches the Rfam family "tRNA". Rfam says of the family: Transfer RNA (tRNA) molecules are approximately 80 nucleotides in length. Their secondary structure includes four short double-helical elements and three loops (D, anti-codon, and T loops). Lineage: Archaea; Nanobdellati; Candidatus Woesearchaeota. The record is from RNAcentral.
GAGCCUGUAGCGCAGCUUGGAUAGCGCGAGUGCCUCCUAAGCACUAGGCCGGGAGUUCAAAUCUCCCCAGGCUCG